AUUGAACGCUGGCGGCAGGCUUAACACAUGCAAGUCGAGCGGAGUGAUGGUGCUUGCACUAUCACUUAGCGGCGGACGGGUGAGUAAUGCUUAGGAAUCUGCCUAUUAGUGGGGGACGACAUCUCGAAAGGGAUGCUAAUACCGCAUACGUCCUACGGGAGAAAGCAGGGGAUCACUUGUGACCUUGCGCUAAUAGAUGAGCCUAAGUCGGAUUAGCUAGUUGGUGGGGUAAAGGCCUACCAAGGCGACGAUCUGUAGCGGGUCUGAGAGGAUGAUCCGCCACACUGGGACUGAGACACGGCCCAGACUCCUACGGGAGGCAGCAGUGGGGAAUAUUGGACAAUGGGGGGAACCCUGAUCCAGCCAUGCCGCGUGUGUGAAGAAGGCCUUAUGGUAGUAAAGCACUUUAAGCGAGGAGGAGGCUCUUUUGGUUAAUACCCAAGAUGAGUGGACGUUACUCGCAGAAUAAGCACCGGCUAACUCUGUGCCAGCAGCCGCCGUAA
Molecule: ribosomal RNA, 503 nt
Filed under: uncultured bacterium
Lineage: Bacteria
Description: partial 16S ribosomal RNA
Rfam family: Bacterial small subunit ribosomal RNA
Source: RNAcentral